RNAcentral lists this ribosomal RNA (420 nucleotides) under Triticum aestivum (bread wheat). RNAcentral's name for it is "partial small subunit ribosomal RNA". Lineage: Eukaryota; Viridiplantae; Streptophyta; Magnoliopsida; Poales; Poaceae. The record is from RNAcentral.
AUGAUUUUGUUGGAACCGAAGAUAAUUUUUGCUGGAACCGGCUCAUGUUUUUGCUACCACCCACCCCACCCAAAAUCUGCUCCCACCGUAUUUUUGCUGGAACCGGCUAACAAUUUUGCUACGACCGGCCAGGAUUUUUGCUGGAACCGGCUCUGCGGUUGCUGCAACCGGCAAGACGACGUGCCCACUGGAGCUGGAGCUAUAGCGCGCUCACCGGCGAUGUGGUUUUUGCUGGAAUCAGCAUAUUUUUUUGCUGGAACCGGCUCGUUACUUUGCUACAAUCAGACUUUGGGGAUUUUUGCUGCUAUGUUUAUUUUUGCUGAAACUAGUGUCAAAUUUUGCUGGAACAGGCUAUUCCUUUGCUACAAGUGGAUUUUUCUGAUUUUUUGCUGCUAUGGUUGUUUUGCUGGAACCGGUUAG